AAAUUGAACUGGAGUUGUAAAACCUAAACUUGCGCCAGGCCUCCCCUGUUAAAUUCCUUGUUUUCCACCCUGCUUUGCGAGAUGGGAACAAUGGCAGCAUUGAAGCCCUGCAGCAGAGUGAGGUGAUGGAGUUUCGAGGCUGGGCCGGGUGCGUGUCGGGGGGCACGCGCUGGCCAGGCCCCACCGAGGUGGGGGCAGCUGAGGCGGGCUGGGGGUGGCACGGCCUUUUGGGAAACAAGGAGGAGAGAUGAAUGCAGCAGUAGGCCAGCUCUAGUCCCUGCCAUGGCCAGAGGGCCCCAGGAGCUUCACCUGGGGCAGGACAUCCGAGGCAAGGCCUCUGCCCACAGCCCUCAGCAGCACCCGUCCUGCAGCUGCCAACAGGACAGGUCUCAUCUGCUGCUGGCACCAUCUCUGCGGCCACAAGUCCCUCUGCAAACCAUGCUGCACUGGCUGCAGCUGUGUCACACGGCUUUGGGAACAGCUGAAGGUGAAGGAGCAUCUCCUGCCUCCUUUCUGCUGCUCUGGAGGACGCUUUGUUGAAGCCUCCUGAGGGCCAGGCCAUCGAUGCCAAUGUGGUCAGGAGGGAAAAGGUGUUAGUUUCUCAUAGGAGCUACAACUCCAGCAUGAGUAACUUGGACACGCUGUUUGGCUUCUAAAAGAGAUGUUAGUUCAUCAGAGUGUGAGUCUUGUGGCGGCAGCAGAGAGCAGGCCACUUCGUCUGAAGCAAAGGAACAAAACCAGAUCACAAUUUCUGCGAGGGUCUCCUGAUACUAGUGCAAUCUGAAUGUCAUUAGUGAGCUGAGCCAGGACUUCUUCGUGGUGUUCUCUGUCUUCACUGUGUCACCACCUGAAGGAAUAAAAGCCUGAUCUCUGCCUCUUUGGAGAGAUGAACAAGAUCCCAAAUGUUACAUCUGCAGUGCUCUGUAUUUCUCUAGAUAUAAAAAGUUAAGAGUCAAAUACCUUGUCUUUGAGUAGUACAAUGACUAAUGCAUACUUUUGUUAUUCAGGGUCAAAUGGUCACUUGCUUUGUUUACUUUACAAAUGGUAGCAACAUUGUGUGGCCAAAAAAAAUCGUGCUGUGGUCUCAGGAUGAACAUAACUCCAAGUGUGGCAGUGGGGCAGUGAGACAUGCCUCUGAGAAGCUCACCAAGCUGCAAGGAUUCAUGCUCAGACCUCAUGGGUGCUGCUCUUUCACUUGAGUCACUGUAGGCACUUGACACUUGUCAAGCACAGACUCAACAACAUCCUCUUCAGCUAAGCAGUGGCCCUACCAGGCUCAGCACUUUUUGCUCCUUGAUUGUCCUCAUUCUUCUAGACAGAAGUAAAUACAUAUUUGUGAGGUAGCUUUGAAGUCUCUGGUGGUACUCUGGAGGUUGAAGAAAGACACUAGAACAGAGUUGUAGUUUCUUUAAAGCACUAUGAACAUUUAUAGAAAAAGAAUAACAAGCAAAAAAAUAAAUGCUUUAAUAAUACCAGAAACAGAGAUAUGAAAAAGAGACCCUUGGGUGGAAGAGGAAGAAACCUACUUGAUAGCACUAAAAUGUAAUAAGGGGCAAACAAUCUAAAAUUGAAAUAUGAGUUCCAAUUACAUUUUAUGCUCAAAGCAGUUAGAUGUUAUUGCAGUUUACAUGAGAAUUAAAACAGAAUUGUAAAAAUUGGAAGUGUGGCGUUGAGGGAAAGCUGCCAUGCUUUGGCCCAGCUCUCAACAGGGACUUUGUCAGUGAGGGAAGGAAUCCCAAGUUACUGGAUGUGAAUGACAGACCCGCUGCUUUUGAGUGUCAUUGGCUGUGGAAACUGAUUUGCUUGCACUAGACUGACUCAAAGGGCUACACUACAUCAGGCAAGAAGGUCUGAACCGGUAUUUUGUGUACUGCAGUAUACUUCUAUAAGAACAAGGAAAAUCUACUGAGUUUAGAGAUUAGCAGACAAUUGCUUCACUAUUCUUGACAUUGUAUACUUCAUGUACCCUAGUAUGGUUAGUUAAUAUAUAUUAGUUUAAUAUAUACCUAAAUGUCUUGCAGGGUCAGAUGGAGUUUUUCACGGAGAUGAUAGACUCAAAUGGACGUGGAUGUUCUGGCUAACCUAUUAUUCAUUCCUUAUGAAGCAGGAAAAAAAUGGUAAAUAGUUCUUCAAGGUGGAGUUAUAUUUUUCUGAAAAAGGGAGGAACUAUGAAAGAGAAAUCUCAGAGUAGCAGAGAAAGAAAUGGAUGGAGCAAUGCACUGGAAGUUGGAAGCUCAGAUUUGAUUUUUGACUUUGCUGCUUCCAUACUGUGAGACUCCUGGCAGGUCAUUUCACCUGUCUGUUCCCCUUCCUGCUCUUGUGUCUAACUUGUCAAUUGAAAGUGGUAGUAACUUAGGCCAGAGGUUGCUUGUAGGAUCCAAUGCUCUUAAUGUCUGGCUCUGUUAAAGGGUUGCAGUUACUAAUGCUCCUCUAGUAAAAAGAGGCAUUGAAAAAAAAAAAAAACAAACCCAGUUGAUAGGAGACAGUAGGAGUUAGAUGAUUAGAUACACUAGUAUAGAAAAAGAACACUCAGAAGCAGAAUCUCAAAAUUAUAAAGAAAAUACCCUGAUUAUUUUAAUGUUGUGAAAGAACAGGAGUAAGGAAUAGGAACAAAGAAAUAUAGUCAGAGUAUAACUGUGCCCUCCUACAGAGAAAUGAACAGAACAAGUUGGCCCUUUCUUUGACUUCUACAAACUUCUGUUGAGUUCUCAAGAAACUGAAAGUGGAGCUGAGGUGGGAACAAUAACUUCCUAGAAGUGUGCUUCUUGAAGAAUGGCUGUCCUGCACUGAUCCUGUGGCUCUGUUCCUACUCUGGAGUGAAUAUUCUGCAGCUUUAGUUCAGCUAAAAUGCCUCCUCCCUUCACUGCUUGCACAUAAAUUGCUAUUAAUGUUACCAUGUUAUACAAGUGCAUUGGGGAGGAAAAUAGGCCCACUAAUGCAUUGUCCUGCUCCAGUGUUUUUUAACCUGGAGGAUGCCACGCUAUUCCAUGGACUGUGGGUGGGCACAGGCCACAGGAAAAAAGCAACAGAGGUGGGACGUUCUCCAUAAGGCUGCAUCUGCCUCACCCUUUCUUCCCCAUGCUUCUCCCCAGGCUGUGUGCAAAGCUUAACGCAGAUAAAGCAUAUGCUCCCACAGUUGCCUUAUGGCCUUCCUUCCCUGCUCACAUGACAACCGUCACUUGUAGUCAGCCAUGGUAGCAGCUCAAAGGGAUCCAGGGCCUGCAGGCUCAGGCUGCAGCUGGCUACUCCAAGCUUCCUUUUUAUUAUCUGAAUUCAUUUACAGUGGCCAUGGAACAUGUGUCUACCUCAGACUGGAAGGGCUACCAGUGGACAGGUCAAUUCCACAGGCAGCAGGUAGCUUCUGCCCUGGGCAGGAGAAAAAGAGAAGAUGGUAAUUAAGGAUCCAACUCAGUCCCCUCCCCAGCACUGCUGAGCUCCAUGGCAGGCCCCCAAGGAAAGGAGUUAAAAAAAAAAUAAAAUUGUCCCCAUUACUAUUAUUUAUAUCAAUGCUACUAUUUUCCCUGUUGUUAUUAAAUAAGAACAAAGUGAAUGGAAAUAUUUUUUCUCUCUUGACAGAGCACAGACACAUGGCUGCUUAUGUCUUUUAUGUUUUGCCAUGGAUUAAUUAGAAGGGGACAUGCAGUUGGGAGGGAGAUACCCCUCUGCCAGUUGAGCACAAAGCAGGCAAACCCAGAUGAACUCACACAAAUGCCAUGGACAUGCAUCUUGGAAGCCCCAAAUCCCCCUGUGCACGCAACUGAACAAACGCUUUAUCUGAGCUGAACUGCACCAACUUCAGUGCAGGCUGGCUGUGCACAGCAGCCAGUGUGAGCCUGCCACAAGGUAGGGCAUCACUCUCAAAAACUUAUACCAGUUACACACAAGUGACAGGAAAGUCUCACCUGAUGACACAAGUUUUUGCAGAAAAAUCUAGAAAUGCAACUUGAGCGGAGUUCUAAAACAAUAAUGAGCAAGUAACUUAAAAAAUUUCAGCACUUGCUGUCUUGCUGUCCCUUGAAAAAUUCCUCACACUUACUAACGCCUUAAAACUCUUGAUAACAGCAGCUGAUGAAAGCCAGAAAUAUCUCCAAGUGGGCAUAAAAAGAGAUUAAUUUGCUUGAAAUCACAUACAGAAAAAUGGAAACCCAGAAAUAUUUACUAUCCUCUCCUCUUCAUGACAUCAGUGUUUGCAAAAGGUCCUGGAUUGACAACCCAAGAAAAUACAGCUCUCUCUUUCACUAUGGACAGAACAAAUCAAAGGCAGUGGAAAUGCAAGCAUUCUAUUUUCUGAACAUACCAGCAUAGCUCAGCUAACUCAUCUCUCUUAAAGGGUGAAAAAAUCCUUGUGCUUCUACAGACCUAAUAGGUGGCCUGCCUUGCAACUAACUCACAAACCAUUUGUAACUGUAUGAAGCAGACACAAAACACAAUUGUUCUACUUAGAACCACUGUAUAUCUAUUUUGUACAGCUGUAAAAAACUACAUUACAUGCAAGGUGUCCUUAUCUUGGCCUCUUUUCUGAAAUGGCCAGCAAAGGUAUCAAGUAUAAUAGAGAGAUCUGUUAACAACAAAAUGAAACAACCUUUAAAAUGAAAUUCAUGUGUACUAUCGAGUGCCUACAUCGCUUAUAUUGCUCAGUAAUUACCUGCUUUGACAGGAUUUUAGCAAUGAAGAUAUGAGAGCUUCAUGGUGUAGUGUUAUUAAUAUGGGUAAAAGAAUGCAGGAAACAAGGCACUAAUAGCACUAAUACUGACAUGUAAGAAACUAUACCAUGUAAGUUUGAACUGUCUGGAUUAGGCCUCUUACUCUCUCCAGUAACUGUUUAUGCAUGCUGAAAAGAUGCUGCUUACCAACUACUGCAAAGCACUGCACAAUCUGGAAAUGAUAGGAGGAAGCUCUGCCUAAAAAUUAGGCCAACCUUUUCAUAUUUGACUAAUGAAAUGUGUGUGCCUUCACUUGCCAGUGUCUCAGCCUCUGACCUUGAUGUGCAACUGACUUCCAGUGGAUAGAUGGUCGUGACAAUGAAAUACUGUAGUAGAAUGCAUUAAUAACAAGAAUGUGUUUAUGCUGUUAUUUUUAUAUUAUUCCGGAACUGACAAACCCACCCCUGCUUACAAAAAACAAGAGGGUGGGGCGUUUACAAUACUUUUGUCACAUCUUAAGAAAAUACGUGCAGGCUAAUUUAAAAUGCUUCCUCAGAAACAUGGAUACAAUUUGGUUUUCUAAUAUAGCUUGUACUUUACUGCAUUGUAUUAUUCAGACAUAAGAAAUAUUAUUUCACAGUUAUUUAACAUAAUUCUGCCAUCCUCAGAAAAGGGGCUGGGGAAUGAAAGAAGAGUGGACAAGCCAUGGGAAGAUGCUGCAAUUAACCAUAUUACACUGGGAAAAAGCUCAGGACUGAGAAUAUAUGGAAUAAACUCUGCAACAUCCUUGGAUGUGUAAAGCCAUCAUGAAACACAAACAUUGCUCUCCUACUGGAAAAAAAUUAGUACAUUUCCACUGUUAUUAUAACUAUUAUUUCUUAAGAUUUUUUUUAUUUUUUUUUUUCUAAUAUGACAAUUGCUUGGCUGGAAGUCAGCAUCCCACCUAGAGACAGAGGUGCACAAAAAAAUUAGUUCUUCCUAACUCUAAGAAUAAAUGCCACGUGUCUUCUGCUUAAAAACCAUGAGGGUCUCAUGUCACAUAUGUUCAGGCCCUCGUAAACAUUUAUACACAGGGGCAGUGUACACAGUAUGCUUCCACACUGUGUUUGAUUUCUGUAGUGGAAGGGAGCUUCUCCCAAAAAGUUAGACUACGUUUCCAACACCCGUCAGCACAACCGCCAUGCAGCCACGUAAAAGCUGCCGGCCUCACACUGUCGCUUUGUGCGUACCAGCCCGUGAGCCACAGAAAUUCUCGAAUUAAUUUCACACCCAUGUGCUUGGUACGGUCCGCGAGGUGCAGGGCAGAGGAGCGGGCCAGGGCACGGAGCGUGGCGCGGACCCCAGCGUUAUAGUCGGCUAGUUCUGCCAGCAGAGCGGUCUCUGUGGGAAGCCGAUGUGAAGUCGGCCGUGCUGUCGAUGCUGGCCCGGUGAGGGCCUCUCCGCCACGCCUGGGCGAGGAUUCCUACGGCAGGGGGCACCGCCCGGAGCUCCUCCGCAUCCCCGCGCGGCGCCGCUGCCUGAA
Molecule: non-coding RNA, 6165 nt
Organism: Cyanistes caeruleus (blue tit)
Lineage: Eukaryota; Metazoa; Chordata; Aves; Passeriformes; Paridae
Source: RefSeq, a predicted model, not a curated record